AUUGAACGCUGGCGGCAGGCUUAACACAUGCAAGUCGAGCGGGGUGAUGGUGCUUGCACUAUCACUUAGCGGCGGACGGGUGAGUAAUGCUUAGGAAUCUGCCUAUUAGUGGGGGACAACAUUUCUAAAGGGAUGCUAAUACCGCAUACGUCCUACGGGAGAUAGCAGGGGAUCAUUUGUGACCUUGCGCUAAUAGAUGAGCCUAAGGCGGAUUAGCUAUUUGGUGGGGUAAAGGCCUACCAAGGAGACGAUCUGUAGCGGGUCUGAGAGGAUGAGCCGCCACACUGGGACGGGGACACGGGCCAGACUGCAUCGGGAGGGAGCAGUGGGAAAGGUUGGACAGUGGUGGGAUUCAUGGAUCAGCCACGCCGCGUGUGUGAAGAAGGCGUUAUGGUUGGAAAGGACUGUAAGUGAGGAGGAGGCUCUUUUGGUUAAUACCCAAGAUGAGUGGAGGUUACCCGUAUAAUAAUCACCGGCUAACUCUGUGCCAGCCGCCGCCGUAA
This 503-nucleotide ribosomal RNA is filed under the name uncultured bacterium. RNAcentral describes it as "partial 16S ribosomal RNA". It matches the Rfam family "Bacterial small subunit ribosomal RNA", at positions 30 to 523 of the family's 1533-position model. The record is from RNAcentral.